RNAcentral lists this ribosomal RNA (518 nucleotides) under uncultured bacterium. Its description in RNAcentral is "bacterial SSU rRNA". It matches the Rfam family "Bacterial small subunit ribosomal RNA", at positions 19 to 518 of the family's 1533-position model. The record is from RNAcentral.
CUGGCUCAGACGAACGCUGGUAGCGUGGAUUAGGCAUGCAAGUCGAACGGGAUCCGGAAGGCAGCAAUGUCGGACCGGUGAGAGUGGCGGAAGGGCGAGGAACACGUGGGCAACCUGUCCAGGAGGUGGGGAAAACCUCGGGAAACUGAGGCUAAUACCGAAUGUGGCGCCCGCUCGCAUGAGCGGAGCGCCAAAGGGGGCGAAAGCUCCCCCUCCACGAGGGGCCCGCGCACCAUCAGCUAGUCGGCGGGUAACGGCCCACCGAGGCUUACGGUUAGCUGGUCUGAGAGGAUGGCCAGCCGCACUGGGACUGAGAUACUGCCCAGACUCCUACGGGAGGCUGCAGUCGAGGAUCAUUCGCAAUGGGCGAAAGCCUGACGAUGCGACGCUGCGUGGAGGAAUGAAGGCCUUCGGGUUGUAAACUCCUGUCAUGAGGGAAAAGGAGACCUUACCUAAUACGUAGGGGAUUUGAUGGUACCUCAAGAGGAAGGGACGGCUAACUCUGUGCCAGCAGCAGC